This 497-nucleotide ribosomal RNA is filed under the name uncultured bacterium. RNAcentral describes it as "partial 16S ribosomal RNA". It matches the Rfam family "Bacterial small subunit ribosomal RNA", at positions 28 to 507 of the family's 1533-position model. The record is from RNAcentral.
GAUGAACGCUGGCGGCGUGCCUAAUACAUGCAAGUCGAGCGAACAGACGAGGAGCUUGCUCCUUUGACGUUAGCGGCGGACGGGUGAGUAACACGUGGGUCACCUACCUCUAAGACUGGGAUAACUUCGGGAAACCGGUGCUACUACCGGCUCAUAUUUCGAACCGCAUGGUUCGAUAGUGAAAGAUGGCUUUGCUAUCACUUAUAGAUGGACCUGCGCCGGAUUAGCUAGUUGGUAAGGUAACGGCCUACCAAGGCAACGAUGCGUAGCCGACCUGAGAGGGUGAUCGGCCACACUGGAACUGAGACACGGUCCAGACUCCUACGGGAGGCAGCAGUAGGGAAUCUUCGACAAUGGGCGAAAGCCUGACGGAGCAACGCCGCGUGAGUGAUGAAGGUCUUCGGAUCGUAAAACUCUUUUAUUAGGGAAGAACAACCGUGGAAGUAACUGUGGACGUCUUGACGGUACCUAAUCAGAAAGCAACGGCUAACUACGUG